Molecule: long non-coding RNA, 2355 nt
Organism: Nothoprocta perdicaria
Lineage: Eukaryota; Metazoa; Chordata; Aves; Tinamiformes; Tinamidae
Exons: 3
Source: RefSeq, a predicted model, not a curated record
AGGAGCGCAGCUGGAAGUCAUCAUCCAUUGGAAUAUAAGGAGCCAACAUCUCCAAAUCUAAAUCAGUUUCCUGGAAAACAUAUGAGAUUUCCACACAUUCUGUGAGGUUAGAUGUUCCUGCUCUAGUAACAGUGACCGUGGGCUGACAAGCUUGAGGCUUCCCUAUAUACAGGAAUCUUGAAGGCUCUUAGAUCAAAAACACCCAAAAGUGAACUCAUGCAUUCUUCAGAACCUCAGAAAGGUUUGGGCUCACACAACAACACAGCUACUAGUUAUUAAUAUUUGUUUUUAUGCAUUUUGUUAUUGUUGCUGCUUCACCAUCAACAGACUGCUGGAAACAGUCUUCUGAACUCCACACCACAGGUCAAGGACUUGGAGGAGCAAAGGUCUAAGGCAGCCUUACAGCACGCACAGGAGGAAGCAAGCACCUAUAUGUAAAUGCAAGCUGAUACUUUCCUGACUCAAGUUUUCCGCRUGAUAACAGAAAGGAUUUCUCGCUCCCCUCUUUUAGCAGAGCCUCAAACCGUGUUUUGCAGGUGGCUAUGCAGCUUCUCAAGCCUUACGAAGSUUUUAACAUCACCUUCACCUAACCUAAACAACCCUUUGCCAGGCAUUUCUCAGAAAAUGAGGAAGGCAACUCCAGGAGGGAAUAAGACACAUUAUGCACUUGCAGAGAUAUAGAAUAAACCUGCUGCACUUAAAAAGAAAAGCAAAUAAAAUGGAAAAUCAUCCUGCUGCUUCCAUCAAUGUGUACCAAUUACAAAUGCCCCAACUUUUUUCUCUAAUAAAAGCAAACCGAAGCACCAACAGUGCAACAUUUUUAAAAGUAUCUACAGGAGACAAGUCUUCCACGGCUUUUCUUCAUCUGGCUUUCUGCAUCUUGCGAUCAUGAAGAAAUACCUCUGCUGCUUAGAUCUUUACAGGACAUGCAGCAAAAAGUAAAUUCUGAUCACUUUUAUGAAAGGAAUUUAAAACUCAAAGAAGUUGCAGGAAAUGACAAAAAAAAUGCUCUAAAAGAACUCCUGAGCCAAGCCAAACCAUCCAGCAAAAGCCGGUUGAGACCAAGUCCUGCGAGCCAUAAAGCACCCUGCCCUCCCUCGACCGGCAGGGAGAUCCUUCCGCCAAGCUGGAAAGGUUUCCCCUCUUUUUACACCAUGUAGGAAGAGCCCCAGCUACACAACWUACUACGGGGUUUUGUACCAGCUUUCAGCUCUGUUAACGGUGGCUCAGUUCCACUGGUGCUGAAAGGAACUGGCAAACAAAAAGCAAGGGGGCACAUUCAAUUCUAGACAUCUCACAAAGGUUUAAGAACGAGCAGGGUUAGCACAUCGCCUCUUUCACAACCUGCCACUCAGGACCUAGGCCUCUUGAUCAGAUUUUGCUGCUGACCAAAGUGGCAGAAAUCAGCAGCAAAAUCCUGGUCUUUCAAGUCCUGGGUACUAGAUAUCAAGUCCCAACUACUGGAAACAGAASAGCUCAAGACACUAAGGUCAGAACAUUAUGUUAUCCAACUUAAUGUCUCCAAUGAGAUCCAGCCCGAGCACUCAGGAAAUUACUUUUAAAAUCUCAUUUACCACUUCUCUUUAGCAGUCAGAUGAUAAGGUAUAAGGAAUUAUAGAUAUUCCUCCACAAGUGAUGAUUUCGAACAAGUCCAAGGUUUAUUUUUCUAGUGCAUCUACAAACCAACUACCGAAGUAACUAGCAAACCUAAAUAGCUCCUUUACUUCAAGCAGCGCAAGAAUCCCUCCAUUAACAGCAAACAGUCCUACUACCUGCAGAGGAGACAACUUUUCACAGCACAAGCCACUCCACUAAAAUUUAUUAAAAGAAUAAUGAGGAAAAUCAUCGCAUGUCUAAUCAAAAGCCUUAACUUCAAAUGAAAUGAAAUUUAGUAAGCAAAUCUAUAAACAAGGUUGCUCUAUCCAUUAUAUACACCAAGAUGUACUUACUGCUUGCAACACGUGGAGAAAAAAAAAAAAAAGCCACAAGCCAGAAGCACAUGAAAAUGAUGCAACUACCAAAGCAGAACAGAUAAAACUCAAAUAGCCACCGCUACCUAAUUGUGUUGCAAAAACAUACAGUGCUUAAGAUUCCACAAGAAAUCAGGUCGGAUCUACACAAGUUUGGGACUACAUGAAAGAAUAGUUUCAACAAAUCAAGCAAUACUUCUAGUUGGCAUUAUGAACAGCACAUUCAUAAUAUUUCACUUCAUAAUUACAUAAGAGACAGACUGGGUCAAAUUCCAUAAUUUCUGUAUCUCACAGCACAUAACGAGCAAGCAAAAAAACCUCACUCUACCCAACUAUCGAUAGCAGAACAUUAUCCAACUACAGACACAGACAAGGAAAGGGAAUU